UACAGAGGGUGCGAGCGUUAAUCGGAAUUACUGGGCGUAAAGGGUGCGUAGGUCGCCUAUCAAGUCAGAUGUGAAAGCCCCGGGCUUAACCUGGGAACGGCAUUUGAUACUAGUAGGCUUGAGUGCAGUAGAGAGAAGCGGAAUUUCCGGUGUAGCGGUGAAAUGCGUAGAUAUCGGAAGGAACACCAGUGGCGAAAGCGGCUUCUUGGACUGUUACUGACACUGAGGCACGAAAGCGUGGGGAGCAAACAGG
Molecule: ribosomal RNA, 253 nt
Filed under: uncultured bacterium
Lineage: Bacteria
Description: partial 16S ribosomal RNA
Rfam family: Bacterial small subunit ribosomal RNA
Source: RNAcentral